RNAcentral lists this ribosomal RNA (482 nucleotides) under uncultured bacterium. Its description in RNAcentral is "partial 16S ribosomal RNA". It matches the Rfam family "Bacterial small subunit ribosomal RNA", at positions 30 to 507 of the family's 1533-position model. The record is from RNAcentral.
AUUGAACGCUGGCGGCAUGCCUUACACAUGCAAGUCGAACGGUAACGGGCCUUCGGUUGCCGACGAGUGGCGAACGGGUGAGUAAUACAUCGGAACGUGCCCGAUCGUGGGGGAUAACGAGGCGAAAGCUUUGCUAAUACCGCAUACGAUCUACGGAUGAAAGCAGGGGACCGCAAGGCCUUGCGCGGACGGAGCGGCCGAUGGCAGAUUAGGUAGUUGGUGGGAUAAAAGCUUACCAAGCCGACGAUCUGUAGCUGGUCUGAGAGGAUGAUCAGCCACACUGGGACUGAGACACGGCCCAGACUCCUGCGGGAGGCAGCAGUGGGGAAUUUUGGACAAUGGGCGCAAGCCUGAUCCAGCCAUGCCGCGUGCAGGAUGAAGGCCUUCGGGUUGUAAACUGCUUUUGUACGGAACGAAAAGCCUUCUUUUAAUACAGGAGGGUCAUGACGGUACCGUAAGAAUAAGCACCGGCUAACUACGUG